CAGUCGCCGCGGGAAUACAGAGGGUGCGAGCGUUAAUCGGAUUUACUGGGCGUAAAGCGUGCGUAGGCGGCUAAUUGAGUCGGAUGUGAAAUCCCCGAGCUUAACUUGGGAAUUGCAUUCGAUACUGGUUAGCUAGAGUGUGGGAGAGGAUGGUAGAAUUCCAGGUGUAGCGGUGAAAUGCGUAGAGAUCUGGAGGAAUACCGAUGGCGAAGGCAGCCAUCUGGCCUAACACUGACGCUGAGGUACGAAAGCAUGGGGAGCAAACAGGAUUAGAUACCCGCGUAGUCCCUGUCUCUUAUAA
RNAcentral lists this ribosomal RNA (301 nucleotides) under uncultured bacterium. Its description in RNAcentral is "partial 16S ribosomal RNA". It matches the Rfam family "Bacterial small subunit ribosomal RNA", at positions 509 to 809 of the family's 1533-position model. The record is from RNAcentral.